RNAcentral lists this ribosomal RNA (436 nucleotides) under uncultured Clostridium sp. Its description in RNAcentral is "partial 16S ribosomal RNA". It matches the Rfam family "Bacterial small subunit ribosomal RNA", at positions 341 to 792 of the family's 1533-position model. The record is from RNAcentral. Lineage: Bacteria; Bacillati; Bacillota; Clostridia; Eubacteriales; Clostridiaceae.
ACGGGAGGCAGCAGUGGGGGAUAUUGCACAAUGGAGGAAACUCUGAUGCAGCAACGCCGCGUGAGGGAAGAAGGUCUUCGGAUUGUAAACCUCUGUUUUUGGUGAAGAAUAACUGACGGUAGCCAAGGAGGAAGCCACGGCUAACUACGUGCCAGCAGCCGCGGUAAUACGUAGGUGGCAAGCGUUAUCCGGAAUUACUGGGUGUAAAGGGAGCGCAGGCGGGACUUCAAGUCAGCGGUGAAAAUUAUGGGCUCAACCCAUAAACUGCCGUUGAAACUGUAGUUCUUGAGUGGAGUAGAGGCAGGCGGAAUUCCGAGUGUAGCGGUGAAAUGCGUAGAUAUUCGGAGGAACACCAGUGGCGAAGGCGGCCUGCUGGGCUCUAACUGACGCUGAGGCUCGAAAGUGUGGGGAGCAAACAGGAUUAGAUACCCUGGUA